RNAcentral lists this ribosomal RNA (804 nucleotides) under uncultured Pseudomonadota bacterium. RNAcentral describes it as "bacterial SSU rRNA". It matches the Rfam family "Bacterial small subunit ribosomal RNA", at positions 1 to 799 of the family's 1533-position model. The record is from RNAcentral. Lineage: Bacteria; Pseudomonadati; Pseudomonadota.
AGGAGAGUUUGAUCCUGGCUCAGAUUGAACGCUGGCGGCAGGCUUAACACAUGCAAGUCGUACGGUAACAGAGGGAAGCUUGCUUCUCUGCUGACGAGUGGCGGACGGGUGAGUAAUGUCUGGGAAGCUGCCUGCUUGAGGGGGAUAGCGGAGCGAAAGUUCCGAUAAUACCGCGUAAGCCCGAGAGGGGAAAGUGCGGGACCGCAAGGCCGCACGCGAGCAGAUGCGCCCAGAUGGGAUUAGGCAGUUGGGGAGGUAACGGCUCACCAAACCGAUGAUCUCUAGCUGGUUUGAGAGGACAAUCAGCCACAUUGGAAUUGAGAAACGGACCAAACUCCUACGGGAGGCAGCAGUGGGGAAUAUUGCACAAUGGGGGAAACCCUGAUGCAGCCAUGCCGCGUGUGUGAAGAAGGCCUUCGGGUUGUAAAGCACUUUUGCAUUCGAGGAAGACAGCGCGUAAAUAAACGCGUUAUUUGACGUUAGAGUGUGAAUAAGCACCGGCAAACUCCGUGCCAGCAGCCGCGGUAAUACGGAGGGUGCGAGCGUUAAUCGGAAUGACUGGGCGUAAAGGGCACGCAGGUGGCGAGAUAAGUUGGAUGUGAAAUUCCCGUGCUUAACAUGGGGACUGCAUCCAAAACUGUUGAACUGGAGUACUGUAGAGGGAGGUAGAAUUCCACGUGUAGCGGUGAAAUGCGUAGAGAUGUGGAAGAAUACCAGAGGCGAAGGCGGCCUCCUGGACAGAUACUGACACUGAGGUGCGAAAGCGUGGGUAGUAAACAGGAUUAGAUACCCUGGUAGUCCCCU